RNAcentral lists this unclassified non-coding RNA (257 nucleotides) under uncultured bacterium. RNAcentral describes it as "contains 16S-23S intergenic spacer region". The record is from RNAcentral.
AGCAAAUCGUUCCCGAUGAUCUCGGGAUGCCCAGUCACAUCCCCUUGCAACAGAUCCGGGCCAGCCUCCCCCAGAAGCACAUCAUCCCCACCACCGCCUGCGAGGCCGUCAUGCCCCUCGCCCCCUUCCAGCCAGUCUUGCCCCAGGAGCGCAGGCAGAUCCGGAUCAUCGCCAUACAGCAGAUCGUCCGCAGCGCCCCCCACAACGUGAUCAUUCCCCGCCCCUCCGCGCGCGCCAUCCGGGCCAUCCUCGCCGAG